This 281-nucleotide unclassified non-coding RNA is filed under the name Hevea brasiliensis (rubber tree). The record is from RNAcentral. Lineage: Eukaryota; Viridiplantae; Streptophyta; Magnoliopsida; Malpighiales; Euphorbiaceae.
AGGUUGGCCCGAGCCGGAGUCUGAAGGGAGGCCGCCGUCGUCUUCUUCUCACACUCUUCUCAUUAAUAGUAAUUGAGGAAGGAAUAAGAGCUUGAUAUAUCCUUGUUCCAGUUGCUUCAAUGGCCACAAUAGCUUCUGGUGCUUUGGUUAAUUUAGAAGAGCUAGUUCCAACUUCCCAACACUUUAAGCAUGGGAUCUCUCUCCGUGUAACUGGAAAGCUCCAAGAUUAUGAUGUGGAGACUGCUGUUGCUGUGAUUGUUGAUAGAAAUGCAUCAUUAAAA